This 638-nucleotide ribosomal RNA is filed under the name uncultured bacterium. RNAcentral's name for it is "bacterial SSU rRNA". It matches the Rfam family "Bacterial small subunit ribosomal RNA", at positions 196 to 822 of the family's 1533-position model. The record is from RNAcentral.
UCAUGCCAAAUAUCCUUCAGGGGAUAGCGCAGGGAUGGACCUAUGGCGCAUUAGCUAGUUGGCGGGGCAACGGCCCACCAAGGCAACGAUGCGUAGCCGGCCUGAGAGGGCGGACGGCCACAUUGGGACUGAGACACGGCCCAGACUCCUACGGGAGGCAGCAGUAGGGAAUUUUCGGCAAUGGGGGAAACCCUGACCGAGCAACGCCGCGUGAGCGAAGAAGGCCUUCGGGUCGUAAAGCUCUGUUGUAAAGGAAGAACGUCGCAUGCAGGAAAUGGUGUGCGAGUGACGGUACUUUACCAGAAAGCCACGGCUAACUACGUGCCAGCAGCCGCGGUAAUACGCAGGUGGCGAGCGUUAUCCGGAAUCAUUGGGCGUAAAGAGGGAGCAGGCGGCCGCAAGGGUCUGUGGUGAAAGACCGAAGCUAAACUUCGGUAAGCCAUGGAAACCGGGCGGCUAGAGUGCGGAAGAGGAUCGUGGAAUUCCAUGUGUAGCGGUGAAAUGCGUAGAUAUAUGGAGGAACACCAGUGGCGAAGGCGACGGUCUGGGCCGCAACUGACGCUCAUUCCCGAAAGCGUGGGGAGCAAAUAGGAUUAGAUACCCUAGUAGUCCACGCCGUAAACGAUGGUCACUAAGUG